AGAGAGCCCAACGUCGAAGGAGUAGCGACCCACGACGGCCCCGAGUCAUGCGUCGUCGCCCGCGAGGGCGCCGGCGAAGCGUUCGACAGGGGCACGUGCGGGCCGGGUAUUGAGCCGCGAAAUGCACAGGUUCAGGGCGCCGACGCCGUUAUCUGUGGCGGAAGGCAACACGUGCGACGUCGCCAGCGCGAGACGUCGCACGGCCCUGCGCGGUCGGAGACCC
This is a non-coding RNA of Minicystis rosea, 223 nucleotides long. The record is from Rfam. Lineage: Bacteria; Pseudomonadati; Myxococcota; Polyangiales; Polyangiaceae.